Molecule: ribosomal RNA, 253 nt
Filed under: uncultured bacterium
Lineage: Bacteria
Description: partial 16S ribosomal RNA
Rfam family: Bacterial small subunit ribosomal RNA
Source: RNAcentral
UACGGAGGGGGCUAGCGUUGUUCGGAAUCACUGGGCGUAAAGCGCGCGUAGGCGGCUUGAUAAGUUAGAAGUGAAAGCCCUGGGCUUAACCUAGGAAUUGCUUUUAAAACUGUCGAGCUAGAGAAUGGUAGAGGAGAGUGGAAUUCCUAGUGUAGAGGUGAAAUUCGUAGAUAUUAGGAGGAACACCAGAGGCGAAGGCGGCUCUCUGGGCCAUUUCUGACGCUAAGGCGCGAAAGCGUGGGGAGCAAACAGG